CUCCUUUCAUUUUCAACCUGCUUUCUCUCUUCUUCUGCCUGAACUUCAAGUUUUUGUUCAAUUUCCUGGCGCCGCUUUUGCCUUUCAGUAGCAACAGUGGAUUCUUGUUUAAAUUUUUGAAGGGUACCCAUCAACAAGCCAAAUAUUCGCCGGUUCCUUUGCUUUCCCUUUUCAUCCAUAUUUUGAUCCUGGAUAAGGUCUCUACGUGUGCGCUCUUUGGAGGUAGCUACAACUGAAGACUGCAAUGCUGGCUUUUUAACAUCAUCAUCCUCCGGGUCGCUUUCCUGGCGUGAUUCUCUUCUGGUCCGACGCUCCCCGCCCAGCCUACUGACUGCCCCUUCAAGGUCUCUCUGUUUGGCUGGG
This 363-nucleotide unclassified non-coding RNA is filed under the name Hevea brasiliensis (rubber tree). Lineage: Eukaryota; Viridiplantae; Streptophyta; Magnoliopsida; Malpighiales; Euphorbiaceae. The record is from RNAcentral.